GGCUUGCGCUCCCCGCUAUGUUUACUACACCAAGUACGUCAGGGAACGAGAGCCAAUCGGCAGCUGCUUCGUUGCUAGGAGAAACUUCACCUCGUUCCGAGAGUAUACUCCGUGUCAGUCAGCCGACGAAUAUGACAUUGCGCCAUGGCAUCGGACGGGAUUCUGCCAGGCGGGAUUUAGCGUCACAUUCACCAGCGACGGGAGCAAGACUUUGAUAGGUGCAGUUGGAAGCUACAACUGGCAAGG
Long non-coding RNA from Branchiostoma floridae (Florida lancelet), 246 nucleotides. RefSeq lists it as uncharacterized. The transcript is spliced from 3 exons. The record is from RefSeq and is a predicted model, not a curated record. Lineage: Eukaryota; Metazoa; Chordata; Leptocardii; Amphioxiformes; Branchiostomatidae.